Molecule: long non-coding RNA, 439 nt
Filed under: Medicago truncatula (barrel medic)
Lineage: Eukaryota; Viridiplantae; Streptophyta; Magnoliopsida; Fabales; Fabaceae
Description: long non-coding RNA (MTRU_LNC002297)
Source: RNAcentral
UAGAGAAAGAGAAUGAGGAAAUCAAAAAGGAAGUAGAGGACACAGAAACUGGAGAAAGUAUUGAGGAAAAGAGUCACUUAGAAAAUGAAGAGAGCAAAGAAACUGGAGAAAUUAGUGAGGAAAAGAGUCAUUUAGAAAAUGAAGAAAGCAAAGAAACUGGAGAAAGUAGUGAGGAAAAGAGUCAUUUAGAAAAUGAAGAGAGCAAAGAAACUGGAGAAAGUAGUGAGGAAAAGAGUCAUCUAGAGAAUGAAGAGAACAAAGAUGAAGAAAAGAGUAAGCAAGAAAAUGAAGAGAUUAAAGAUGGAGAAAAGAUUCAGCAAGAGAAUGAAGAGAACAAAGAUGAAGAAAAGAGUCAGCAAGAGAAUGAAGAGAACAAAGAUGAAGAAAAGAGUCAGCAAGAGAAUGAAUUGAAGAAAAAUGAAGGGGGAGAGAAAGAAAC